GUCCGUUUAACUCAAAUGGUAAAGUGCAAGUCUUUUAAUCUUGUGGUCGUGGGUUUGAGCCCACGGUGGGUG
This 72-nucleotide transfer RNA is filed under the name Ipomoea nil (Japanese morning glory). It matches the Rfam family "tRNA". From Rfam's summary of the family: Transfer RNA (tRNA) molecules are approximately 80 nucleotides in length. The record is from Rfam by way of RNAcentral. Lineage: Eukaryota; Viridiplantae; Streptophyta; Magnoliopsida; Solanales; Convolvulaceae.